This 659-nucleotide ribosomal RNA is filed under the name Pseudoalteromonas prydzensis. RNAcentral's name for it is "bacterial SSU rRNA". It matches the Rfam family "Bacterial small subunit ribosomal RNA", at positions 74 to 726 of the family's 1533-position model. The record is from RNAcentral. Lineage: Bacteria; Pseudomonadati; Pseudomonadota; Gammaproteobacteria; Alteromonadales; Pseudoalteromonadaceae.
AGUAGCUUGCUACUCUGCUGACGAGCGGCGGACGGGUGAGUAAUGCUUGGGAAUAUGCCUUAUGGUGGGGGACAACAGUUGGAAACGACUGCUAAUACCGCAUGAUGUCUACGGACCAAAGUGGGGGACCUUCGGGCCUCACGCCAUAAGAUUAGCCCAAGUGGGAUUAGCUAGUUGGUGAGGUAAUGGCUCACCAAGGCGACGAUCCCUAGCUGGUUUGAGAGGAUGAUCAGCCACACUGGGACUGAGACACGGCCCAGACUCCUACGGGAGGCAGCAGUGGGGAAUAUUGCACAAUGGGCGCAAGCCUGAUGCAGCCAUGCCGCGUGUGUGAAGAAGGCCUUCGGGUUGUAAAGCACUUUCAGUAAGGAGGAAAGGUUAAGUGUUAAUAGCGCUUAGCUGUGACGUUACUUACAGAAGAAGCACCGGCUAACUCCGUGCCAGCAGCCGCGGUAAUACGGAGGGUGCGAGCGUUAAUCGGAAUUACUGGGCGUAAAGCGUACGCAGGCGGUUUGUUAAGCGAGAUGUGAAAGCCCCGGGCUCAACCUGGGAACUGCAUUUCGAACUGGCAAACUAGAGUGUGAUAGAGGGUGGUAGAAUUUCAGGUGUAGCGGUGAAAUGCGUAGAGAUCUGAAGGAAUACCGAUGGCGAAGGCAGCC